Molecule: non-coding RNA, 28 nt
Filed under: Mus musculus (house mouse)
Lineage: Eukaryota; Metazoa; Chordata; Mammalia; Rodentia; Muridae
Source: RNAcentral
UGAGAAUGUGUCUCCCCACCCUCAGUCC